GAUGAACGCUGGCGGCGUGCCUAAUACAUGCAAGUCGAGCGAACAGACGAGGAGCUUGCUCCUCUGACGUUAGCGGCGGACGGGUGAGUAACACGUGGAUAACCUACCUAUAAGACUGGGAUAACUUCGGGAAACCGGAGCUAAUACCGGAUAAUAUAUUGAACCGCAUGGUUCAAUAGUGAAAGACGGUUUUGCUGUCACUUAUAGAUGGAUCCGCGCCGCAUUAGCUAGUUGGUAAGGUAACGGCUUACCAAGGCAACGAUGCGUAGCCGACCUGAGAGGGUGAUCGGCCACACUGGAACGGGGACACGGUCCAGACUCCUACGGGAGGCAGCAGUAGGGAAUCUUCCGCAAUGGGCGAAAGCUUGACGGAGCAACGCCGCGUGAGUGAUGACGGUCUUCGGAUCGUAAAACUCUGUUAUUAGGGAAGAACAAAUGUGUAAGUAACUAUGCACGUCUUGACGGUACCUAAUCAGAAAGCCACGGCUAACUACGUG
Molecule: ribosomal RNA, 497 nt
Filed under: uncultured bacterium
Lineage: Bacteria
Description: partial 16S ribosomal RNA
Rfam family: Bacterial small subunit ribosomal RNA
Source: RNAcentral